RNAcentral lists this ribosomal RNA (549 nucleotides) under uncultured Glomus. RNAcentral describes it as "SSU rRNA". It matches the Rfam family "Eukaryotic small subunit ribosomal RNA", at positions 548 to 1098 of the family's 1831-position model. The record is from RNAcentral. Lineage: Eukaryota; Fungi; Glomeromycota; Glomeromycetes; Glomerales; Glomeraceae.
UUGGAGGGCAAGUCUGGUGCCAGCAGCCGCGGUAAUUCCAGCUCCAAUAGCGUAUAUUAAAGUUGUUGCAGUUAAAAAGCUCGUAGUUGAACUUCGGGAUCAAUGGAUUGGUCAUGCCGAUGGUAUGUACUGGUCAUAUUGGUUCUCACCUUCUAAGGAACCAUAAUGUCAUUCAUUUGAUGUUUUGGGGAAUUAGGACUGUUACCUUGAAAAAAUUAGAGUGUUUAAAGCAGGCUAACGCUUGAAUACAUUAGCAUGGAAUAAUGAAAUAGGACAUCGCAUUCUAUUUUGUUGGUUUCUAGGAUCGAUGUAAUGAUUAAUAGGGAUAGUUGGGGGCAUUAGUAUUCAAUUGUCAGAGGUGAAAUUCUUGGAUUUAUUGAAGACUAACUACUGCGAAAGCAUUUGCCAAGGAUGUUUUCAUUAAUCAGGAACGAAAGUUAGGGGAUCGAAGACGAUCAGAUACCGUCGUAGUCUUAACCAUAAACUAUGCCGACUAGGGAUCGGAUGAUGUUGAUUUUUUAAUGACUCAUUCGGCGCCUUACGGGAAAC